This 792-nucleotide ribosomal RNA is filed under the name uncultured Glomus. Its description in RNAcentral is "SSU rRNA". It matches the Rfam family "Eukaryotic small subunit ribosomal RNA", at positions 322 to 1114 of the family's 1831-position model. The record is from RNAcentral. Lineage: Eukaryota; Fungi; Glomeromycota; Glomeromycetes; Glomerales; Glomeraceae.
UCGAUGGUAGGAUAGAGGCCUACCAUGGUGGUAACGGGUAACGGGGAAUUAGGGUUCGAUUCCGGAGAGGGAGCCUGAGAAACGGCUACCACAUCCAAGGAAGGCAGCAGGCGCGCAAAUUACCCAAUCCCGACACGGGGAGGUAGUGACAAUAAAUAACAAUACGGGGCUCUUUCGGGUCUUGUAAUUGGAAUGAGUACAAUUUAAAUCUCUUAACGAGGAACAAUUGGAGGGCAAGUCUGGUGCCAGCAGCCGCGGUAAUUCCAGCUCCAAUAGCGUAUAUUAAAGUUGUUGCAGUUAAAAAGCUCGUAGUUGAAUUUCGGGAUCAAUGUUUCGGUCAUGCCGUUGGUAUGUACUGAUAUUAUUGAUUUCUCACCUUCUAAAGAACCGUAAUGCCAUUAAUUUGGUGUCACGGGGAAUUAGGACUGUUACCUUGAAAAAAUUAGAGUGUUUAAAGCAGGCUCACGCUUGAAUACAUUAGCAUGGAAUAAUGAAAUAGGACAUCCGAUUCUAUUUUGUUGGUUUCUAGGAUCGAUGUAAUGAUUAAUAGGGAUAGUUGGGGGCAUUAGUAUUCAAUUGUCAGAGGUGAAAUUCUUGGAUUUAUUGAAGACUAACUACUGCGAAAGCAUUUGCCAAGGAUGUUUUCAUUAAUCAAGAACGAAAGUUAGGGGAUCGAAGACGAUCAGAUACCGUCGUAGUCUUAACCAUAAACUAUGCCGACUAGGGAUCGGAUGAUGUUAAUUUUUUAAUGACUCAUUCGGCGCCUUACGGGAAACCAAAGUGUUUGGGUUC